Long non-coding RNA from Amphibalanus amphitrite, 480 nucleotides. RefSeq lists it as uncharacterized. Lineage: Eukaryota; Metazoa; Arthropoda; Thecostraca; Balanomorpha; Balanidae. The record is from RefSeq and is a predicted model, not a curated record. The transcript is spliced from 5 exons.
UCAAAACUUUGUAGAUUGUGUGACAGAUAACGAAUUACAUGGAUAUGCGAUUUUUGCUCGGUAAUAAAUUGUAACUGACCAACAAUCAACUGUCAAUAGCUAGGUGCUGAACAUUCAUCUCUGGUCUUUCAGCGCCCGUCCCAGCAUUGGCAGCACCACCGUCCACCACCAUCACCGCCGGCCUCAGGACCAAGCCCACCACCAGCGGGCGUUGACGGAGGCGGGUGUGCGGCUCUGGCGCAGCUGAGCCGUCGACCGCCGGAGCCAAUCCGGCAGUCCGGCAUUUCAGCUGCCGCACACUCGCCCGUCACAGGAUCAGAGGCCUCCCGAGACAGCUUCCCGUUUCCGACCGGCUGAGACGGCUCCCGUCCCAGCAUUGGCAGCACCAUCACCAGCACCGCCGGCCUCAGGACCAAGCCCACCACCAGCGGGCGCUGACGGAGGCGGGUGUGCGGCUCUGGCGCAGCUGAGCCGUCGACC